RNAcentral lists this transfer RNA (73 nucleotides) under Ovis aries (sheep). It matches the Rfam family "tRNA". Rfam says of the family: Transfer RNA (tRNA) molecules are approximately 80 nucleotides in length. The record is from Rfam by way of RNAcentral. Lineage: Eukaryota; Metazoa; Chordata; Mammalia; Artiodactyla; Bovidae.
UCCCUGGUGGUCAGGUGGCUAGGACUCUGUGCUCCCAACGCAGGAGGUGCAGGUUCAAUCCCUUGUCAGGGAA